GCUUACGGCCAUACCAGCCUGGGUACGCCCGAUCUCGUCUGAUCUCGGAAGCUAAGCAGGGUCGUGCCUGGUUAGUACUUGGAUGGGAGACCACCUGGGAAUACCAAGUGCUGUAAUCA
This 119-nucleotide ribosomal RNA is filed under the name Salmo salar (Atlantic salmon). Lineage: Eukaryota; Metazoa; Chordata; Actinopteri; Salmoniformes; Salmonidae. The record is from RNAcentral.